Molecule: transfer RNA, 66 nt
Filed under: Tiniocellus spinipes
Lineage: Eukaryota; Metazoa; Arthropoda; Insecta; Coleoptera; Scarabaeidae
Description: tRNA-Ile
Source: RNAcentral
AAUGAGGUGUCUGAUUAAAGAGUUAUUUUGAUAGAAUAAAACAUGUAAUAAAUAUUACCUUCAUUA